GACGAACGCUGGCGGCGUGCUUAACACAUGCAAGUCGAACGAUGAACCCGGAGCUUGCUCUGGGGGAUUAGUGGCGAACGGGUGAGUAACACGUGAGUAACCUGCCCUGGACUCUGGGAUAAGCGUUGGAAACGACGUCUAAUACCGGAUAGGACCUUGGAUCGCAUGAUCUGGGGUGGAAAGUUUUUUCGGUCUGGGAUGGACUCGCGGCCUAUCAGCUUGUUGGUGAGGUAAUGGCUCACCAAGGCGUCGACGGGUGGCCGGCCUGAGAGGGUGACCGGCCACACUGGGACUGAGACACGGCCCAGACUCCUACGGGAGGCAGCAGUGGGGAAUAUUGCACAAUGGGCGAAAGCCUGAUGCAGCAACGCCGCGUGCGGGAUGACGGCCUUCGGGUUGUAAACCGCUUUUAGUAGGGAAGAAGGGCUUCGGCUUGACGGUACCUGCAGAAAAAGGACCGGCUAACUACGUG
RNAcentral lists this ribosomal RNA (472 nucleotides) under uncultured bacterium. Its description in RNAcentral is "partial 16S ribosomal RNA". It matches the Rfam family "Bacterial small subunit ribosomal RNA", at positions 28 to 507 of the family's 1533-position model. The record is from RNAcentral.